Molecule: ribosomal RNA, 482 nt
Filed under: uncultured archaeon
Lineage: Archaea
Description: bacterial SSU rRNA
Rfam family: Archaeal small subunit ribosomal RNA
Source: RNAcentral
UAAGCCAUGCAAGUUAAGCCUCCCUAGCUAUGUUGGGAGAGCAGCGAACGGCUCAGUAACACGUAGUUAAUCUGCCCUUGGGACGGAGAUAACUCCGGGAAACUGGAGCUAAUAACUGAUAGAUGGAAGUUCCUGGAAUGGUCUUCCACCAAAAAGUUCUAGGGAACAUGCUCUCAAGAACGCCCAAGGAUGAGACUGCGUCCGAUCAGGUUGUUGGUGGGGUAACGGCCCACCAAGCCGUUGACCGGUACGGGCCCUGAGAGGGGGAGCCCGGAGAUGGGAACUGAGAUAAGGUCCCAGGUCCUACGGGGCGCAGCAGGCGCGAAAACUCCACAAUGCGCGAAAGCGUGAUGGGGUUACCCCGAGUGCCGUCCGAUGAGGAGGGCUUUUACCCAGUGUAAGGAGCUGGGAGAAUAAAGGGGGGGAAAGACUGGUGUCAGCCGCCGCGGUAAUACCAUCCCCCUGAGUGAUAGGGACGAUUA